GGUUGCGAUCAUACCAGCACUAAUGCAUCGGAUCCCAUCAGAACUCCGCAGUUAAGCGUGCUUGGGCGAGAGUAGUACUAGGAUGGGUGACCCCCUGGGAAGUCCUCGUGUUGCAACCCC
This 120-nucleotide ribosomal RNA is filed under the name Helianthus annuus (common sunflower). The record is from RNAcentral. RNAcentral also lists the same sequence under 1 other name. Lineage: Eukaryota; Viridiplantae; Streptophyta; Magnoliopsida; Asterales; Asteraceae.